RNAcentral lists this ribosomal RNA (253 nucleotides) under uncultured bacterium. Its description in RNAcentral is "partial 16S ribosomal RNA". It matches the Rfam family "Bacterial small subunit ribosomal RNA", at positions 524 to 776 of the family's 1533-position model. The record is from RNAcentral.
UACGGAGGGGGCUAGCGUUGUUCGGAAUUACUGGGCGUAAAGCGCACGUAGGCGGAUAUUUAAGUCAGGGGUGAAAUCCCGGGGCUCAACCCCGGAACUGCCUUUGAUACUGGGUAUCUGGAGGUCGAGAGAGGCGAGUGGAAUUCCGAGUGUAGAGGUGAAAUUCGUAGAUAUUCGGAGGAACACCAGUGGCGAAGGCGGCUCACUGGCCCGAUACUGACGCUGAGGCACGAAAGCGUGGGGAGCAAACAGG